Molecule: ribosomal RNA, 505 nt
Filed under: uncultured bacterium
Lineage: Bacteria
Description: partial 16S ribosomal RNA
Rfam family: Bacterial small subunit ribosomal RNA
Source: RNAcentral
GACGAACGCUGGCGGCGUGCCUAAUACAUGCAGGUAGAACGCACAGUUUAUACCGUAGCUUGCUACACCAUAGACUGUGAGUUGCGAACGGGUGAGUAACGCGUAGGUAACCUGCCUGGUAGCGGGGGAUAACUAUUGGAAACGAUAGCUAAUACCGCAUAAUAUUAAUUAUUGCAUGAUAAUUAAUUGAAAGGUGCAAUUGCACCACUACCAGAUGGACCUGCGUUGUAUUAGCUAGUAGGUGAGGUAACGGCUCACCUAGGCGACGAUACGUAGCCGACCUGAGAGGGUGAUCGGCCACACUGGGACUGAGACACGGCCCAGACUCCUACGGGAGGCAGCAGUAGGGAAUCUUCGGCAAUGGACGAAAGUCUGACCGAGCAACGCCGCGUGAGUGAAGAAGGUUUUCGGAUCGUAAAGCUCUGUUGUAAGAGAAGAACGGGUGUGAGAGUGGAAAGUUCACACUGUGACGGUAUCUUACCAGAAAGGGACGGCUAACUACGUG